GGGUAGGGGAAGUAACGUAGACGAAAGUUACGCUAAUACCGCAUAUUCUGUGAGCAGGAAAGCAGGGGAUCGCAAGACCUUGCGCUGAUUGAGCGGCCGAUAUCAGAUUAGCUAGUUGGUGAGGUAAAGGCUCACCAAGGCGACGAUCUGUAGCGGGUCUGAGAGGAUGAUCCGCCACACUGGAACUGAGACACGGUCCAGACUCCUACGGGAGGCAGCAGUGGGGAAUUUUUGGACAAUGGGCGCAAGCCUGAUCCAGCCAUGCCGCGUGAGUGAAGAAGGCCUUCGGGUUGUAAAGCUCUUUCGGCCGGGAAGAAAUCGCACGGGUUAAUACCCUGUGUGGAUGACGGUACCGGAAUAAGAAGCACCGGCUAACUACGUG
This 382-nucleotide ribosomal RNA is filed under the name uncultured bacterium. Its description in RNAcentral is "bacterial SSU rRNA". It matches the Rfam family "Bacterial small subunit ribosomal RNA", at positions 131 to 507 of the family's 1533-position model. The record is from RNAcentral.